GGGGGUGAACGGUUUCGACUCUGGACGUUGAUUCAGGUGAAGCGUGCCGGUGCAGGCGAGAGACCACCGUAAGCGUCAUCGCAAACCAAUAAGCGCCAAGGCCAAUAGCCAGCGCGACUUCGCCCUCGCUGCCUAAGCGAGUGCGAGUCUGUCGGCCCGGGAGUGCCUCCGUCCCGGUCGCCGGCAUCAGCUAGGAGGCUUACCGCCGUUCCCGGUCACGGGGACCGGUUGGGAAACCAACAGUGGCUGGGCCCGUCACAUCGGCUUGUUCGCGUGACCGAUGGGGCCAAGUAGAGACACAGCGGACUGCGCACGGAGAAGCCCUGAAAAGGCGACAGAGGACCCGGGUUCGAUUCCCGGCACCUCCACUC
RNAcentral lists this transfer-messenger RNA (371 nucleotides) under Amycolatopsis antarctica. RNAcentral's name for it is "Standard tmRNA". It matches the Rfam family "transfer-messenger RNA". From Rfam's summary of the family: Bacterial tmRNA, also known as 10Sa RNA or SsrA, is named for its dual tRNA and mRNA-like properties. Its role is to liberate the mRNA from a stalled ribosome. The record is from Rfam by way of RNAcentral. Lineage: Bacteria; Bacillati; Actinomycetota; Actinomycetes; Pseudonocardiales; Pseudonocardiaceae.